GAAACACAAACUCACUGGAAAGAAGCAGCUUACUUGAAGGGUCUUGAAAACCAGGCAUGAUCAAGCCACAACUGGCACAGAAGAUGCGCUUUAGACGUGUUCAGAGAAAACUUCAAACAAGUGUUACUCUACCAAAGCAACUCCAGAUUUUCUUCAUUUUCUCUCACACAAUGGCUCGGAUCCUUCUGACACCACAAAGGAAAAAUGCCUUAAGAGCUGGGGAAGCAUUCAAGAAGUAAUUCAUAGCAAACUGA
This is a long non-coding RNA of Ornithorhynchus anatinus (platypus), 254 nucleotides long. RefSeq lists it as uncharacterized. The transcript has 2 exons. Lineage: Eukaryota; Metazoa; Chordata; Mammalia; Monotremata; Ornithorhynchidae. The record is from RefSeq and is a predicted model, not a curated record.